This is a non-coding RNA of Epinephelus lanceolatus (giant grouper), 748 nucleotides long. Lineage: Eukaryota; Metazoa; Chordata; Actinopteri; Perciformes; Serranidae. The record is from RefSeq and is a predicted model, not a curated record.
GAAGCACAAGGGAGGCGCAGAGAAGAUUAGGGGAAAAAAGAGACAGGCAUUGCUGCAAAUGCUGCAAAAUGUCAGAAACUGACAACCCUGUUUUCUGCUGCUGGACCAUCCUCUGCAGCAUCAGCAGCAGCACCUGUGGCGGCAGCUCUGGCGUGUGACCAGGUGGGAGAUGCAACUCAGGUUGAGUCACCAUCCCCACAGAAGGACUGUGGCAGGGAGGGAGAGGAGAGCAGCCUGGUCGUACUAGUCCAGACUGAAGAUGAUCAUGCAUCCACUGCCAGCAUCCCCGCCCCGAUCCCUGGAGAGUGGACCGGUCAGGUACCAAAUUCCCAGGCUGCUUUUUUGCCCCAGUCCGCCCCUGCUCAUAAGUGAUGAUUGAGAGGGAUUAUUUCUGUAUGAGUCUAUACACUGUUUUUAAGGAAGAUCCUGCAGAGUUUAUCUUUAAGGUUUUAGCUCCACAUUGCUCUGCCACAGUCAAUGGAUUAAACCACUGAACAAGACAAAUAGACUUCAUUGUGGAUCAGUAUAAUAUCAGCCUGAUGUCUGCAGUUUAGUGUCAACACAACUUUCACAUCAUAAUAAUCUCAGCACAGGAGUAAAAAAUGGUGUCUGACCUCAGAGUCUCCAGUUUACAGUGUGGACUCUCCAGAAAAUCACACAGCUGCUUCACUCCUGAAUCCUGCAGCUUGUUGUCACUCAGCUCCAGCUCUCUCAGAUGGGAGGGGUUGGACUUCAGAGCUGAGGCCAG